This 198-nucleotide ribosomal RNA is filed under the name uncultured bacterium. Its description in RNAcentral is "partial 16S ribosomal RNA". It matches the Rfam family "Bacterial small subunit ribosomal RNA", at positions 328 to 539 of the family's 1533-position model. The record is from RNAcentral.
ACGCUCGACACCUACGGGAGCAGCAGUCGGGAAUAUUGCGCAAUGGAGGAAACUCUGACGCAGUGACGCCGCGUAUAGGAAGAAGGUUUUCGGAUUGUAAACUAUUGUCGUUAGGGAAGAGAAAGGACAGUACCUAAGGAGGAAGCUCCGGCUAACUACGUGCCUGCAGCCGCGGUAAUCUGAGCGGGCUGGCAAGGC